RNAcentral lists this unclassified non-coding RNA (240 nucleotides) under soil metagenome. RNAcentral's name for it is "partial contains 5.8S ribosomal RNA, internal transcribed spacer 2, and large subunit ribosomal RNA". The record is from RNAcentral.
AACGAGGCCGACCUGCGGCUGAGUUACCUGCGGAGGGAUCAUUACCGAGUGAGGGACCCUCCGGGUCCAACCUCCCACCCGUGUUUAACGAACCUUGUUGCUUCGGCGGGCCCGCCUCACGGCCGCCGGGGGGCACUCCGCCCCCGGGCCCGCGCCCGCCGAAGACACCUGUGAACGCUGUCUGAAGUUGCAGUCUGAGACACUAGCUCAAUCAGUUAAAACUUUUAACAACGGAUCUCA